Molecule: long non-coding RNA, 799 nt
Organism: Humulus lupulus (European hop)
Lineage: Eukaryota; Viridiplantae; Streptophyta; Magnoliopsida; Rosales; Cannabaceae
Exons: 4
Source: RefSeq, a predicted model, not a curated record
CUGCCUCUUCUCUUCCUCGGCUUCCCAUUCUUCUUUUCUCAUUUGGUCUCGAUUUCCCACUCUUUUUUUCUCGACCUGGCCUCCGACGACGCCUCCCAAAGGGUUUUGGCACUGUCCCCACUGCCAUUGCCAUUAGCCAUUUAAUCCAUGGUAACCACUUUCGCUGAGAAAUCAGAAGACGAUCUUCGCAAGGAGAUCGAUGAGCUUCAGCGCCAGCAACGCGAGGCCUGAUUUUCCCUCUCUCUCACUUUUGGAUGUAUAUUGUAGCACAGUGUGUUUUCUCUUUGAUUUUCUCGGUAAAUUUUCAGAUUACUGACCACCUUUGGGAUCCUCGGGGGCUUCGCCGAGGACGCUUGCCCGGCACUGGUCCUUUUAACUUUGCCGCCAAUGGUGCUCUUUAGAAUUAUGUUGCUCAAUCUUUUUUUCAUUUUCAUUAAUCCUUAGGUGGAAGAUGGAGAGAUCACUGAGGAUGUCAAAGCAAAUGAGGACGUGAAUGAAGAUGAUUCGGUCAAGGAAGUUACUGAUGGGAAUUUGCUGCAGAGUGGUUGGUCGAGGAGAGAUGGCAAUCAAAGACCAAUGAGGAAGACUCUGCGGGCACGUGUUUAUGCCAAGACAGAAGAGAAGAAGUUGGAAUUACUGUAUCUUCGGUGGAGUGAGCACCAUAAAAAACUUUGCAAUUUUAUAAGGACUAAGACAGAGCCUCCAAUUUAUUAUUUGCCGAAGAAGCCACUGGAUGCAGAUGAAAUUGAGGCUGAGCAGCGAAAAAAAUAGGUUUUUAUUCAUCUUGUAUUUCUCUAAG